This 465-nucleotide ribosomal RNA is filed under the name uncultured bacterium. Its description in RNAcentral is "partial 16S ribosomal RNA". It matches the Rfam family "Bacterial small subunit ribosomal RNA", at positions 28 to 507 of the family's 1533-position model. The record is from RNAcentral.
GACGAACGCUGGCGGCGUGCUUAACACAUGCAAGUCGAGCGAGGCCCCUCCUUCGGGAGGGUGUCCUAGCGGCGAACGGGUGAGUAACACGUGGGCAACCUGCCCUCAGCUCUGGGAUAACUCCGGGAAACCGGGGCUAAUACCGGAUACGACCUCCACGGGCAUCUGAGGAGGGGGAAAGUUAUUCGGCUGAGGAUGGGCCCGCGGCCUAUCAGCUAGUUGGUGGGGUAGUGGCCCACCAAGGCGACGACGGGUAGCCGGCCUGAGAGGGCGACCGGCCACACUGGGACUGAGAAACGGCCCAGACUCCUACGGGAGGCAGCAGUGGGGAAUAUUGCGCAAUGGGCGAAAGCCUGACGCAGCGACGCCGCGUGAGGGACGAAGGCCUUCGGGUUGUAAACCUCUUUCAGCAGGGACGAAGCGAAAGUGACGGUACCUGCAGAAGAAGCACCGGCCAACUACGUG